GAACGCUGGCGGCGUGCUUAACACAUGCAAGUCGAACGAUGACUUUUGUGCUUGCACAAAAUGAUUAGUGGCGAACGGGUGAGUAACACGUGAGUAACCUGCCCUUAACUUCGGGAUAAGCCUGGGAAACCGGGUCUAAUACCGGAUACGACGGAUUCCCGCAUGGGGGUCCGUGGAAAGCUUGAUGCGGUUUUGGAUGGACUCGCGGCCUAUCAGCUAGUUGGUUGGGGUAAUGGCCCACCAAGGCGACGACGGGUAGCCGGCCUGAGAGGGUGACCGGCCACACUGGGACUGAGACACGGCCCAGACUCCUACGGGAGGCAGCAGUGGGGAAUAUUGCACAAUGGGCGAAAGCCUGAUGCAGCGACGCCGCGUGAGGGACGAAGGCCUUCGGGUUGUAAACCUCUUUCAGCAGGGAAGAAGCGAAAGUGACGGUACCUGCAGAAGAAGCGCCGGCUAACUACGUGCCAGCAGCCGCGGUAAUACGUAGGGCGCAAGCGUUAUCCGGAAUUAUUGGGCGUAAAGAGCUCGUAGGCGGUUUGUCGCGUCUGCUGUGAAAGCCCGGGGCUCAACCCCGGGUCUGCAGUGGGUACGGGCAGA
RNAcentral lists this ribosomal RNA (600 nucleotides) under Arthrobacter sp. YIM C814. RNAcentral's name for it is "bacterial SSU rRNA". It matches the Rfam family "Bacterial small subunit ribosomal RNA", at positions 31 to 640 of the family's 1533-position model. Lineage: Bacteria; Bacillati; Actinomycetota; Actinomycetes; Micrococcales; Micrococcaceae. The record is from RNAcentral.